CGGGACCCUGGGGAGUGGAAGAGGGAGAGGGCAAAGCUGGCAGAUAGCUGCUGGGGGGAAUCAUUUAGGAUCUGGGUUAGUCCAGGCGCUCCUGCAUGCCUGGGUUCCUCUCUGGGCUCUGGUGACUUGUCGAUAGCAGGCGUGUUCUCCUGAUUCAUUUUGAUCGCUGUCAAGAUGGUGAUCAAAGUCUUUGUAGCCACAUCCUCGGGGUCUACAGCGAUCAAAAAGAAACAGCAAGAAGUAGUGGGCUUUUUAGAGGCCAACAAGAUUGACUUUCAGCAAAUGGACAUAGCAGGUGAUGAGGACAACAGGAAAUGGAUGAGAGAGAACGUCCCAGGUGAAAAAAAGCCUCAAAAUGGAAUCCCUCUCCCUCCACAGAUCUUCAAUGAGGAACGGUACUGUGGGGACUUCGAAUCCUUUUUUUCUGCUAAAGAAGAAAAUAUUGUUUAUUCAUUCCUGGGUCUUGCUCCUCCUCCAGGCACAGAGGAGACUGAAAAGUCUGAAGCCACUGAAGUAAAUGAGGCACAUGCAGAAGCCAACGCAGAUGAAGAGGCUCAGUCUGCUCAGUCACCAUCAGAAGAUCAACAGGAAGACAAGGAAGAACAUGCAGCAGCAGGGGAAGAAGAAGAAAAGCAGGAAGAGGGAGAAGAAAAGGAAGAGGUGGAGGAGGAGACAGAGGAGCAAGAAGAGUCUUAGUACACUUUCUUAUGACACAUUCUUUCUUGAAAAGGUUUUCAGGUAACUAUUAAGUGCACGCUGGAGCAGUACCACCAGAGAAAAUAAAAUCACCCUCUCAAAUAAACUGUCAUUGUCUUUCAUGCCUGCACACAUAUGAGGAUUUAAAUAUAGCAGAACAAAGACACCACUUAGUGCUACUUUUCGCCUUUGUAUAUAUAUUUGGUAUUAUAAUUGCUUGUUAAACGGGGUCCUCUUCUAUCUGACUUACGAUAUUUCACUUGAUUGUUAUACGUUGGAAUAGUAUUGUCCAUGUCAAAUUUUAGAUUGUAAGCUCCUCAGGGCAGGAACCAUGUCUUUUUCCAUGUUUGUGUACUGCCAGUCACACUGCUGCCACUCAGCAUAUAACUGCACUUUCACAGUGAAGUUGCAUUCAGAGAAAAAGAAAAUCAGCACUGAAAAAUGCAAAGAUGCUUCCUGUAUACAAGCUUUGUGAGUUCUCCCUCAGCUGGCUUUUGAAAAUGAUUGAGAUUUCCACUGUACAGCAGUUUAAAUAAAUACAUUUUGUGUCA
Molecule: RNA transcript, 1247 nt
Organism: Rhea pennata
Lineage: Eukaryota; Metazoa; Chordata; Aves; Rheiformes; Rheidae
Gene: SH3BGR
Gene name: SH3 domain binding glutamate rich protein
Exons: 7
Source: RefSeq, a predicted model, not a curated record